AUACGGAGGGUGCAAGCGUUACUCGGAAUCACUGGGCGUAAAGCGCGCGUAGGCGGCUUAUUAAGUCAGAUGUGAAAUCCCCGGGCUCAACCUGGGAACUGCAUCUGAUACUGGUAAGAUAGAGUUUUGGAGAGGGAAGUAGAAUUUCAGGUGUAGCGGUGAAAUGCAUAGAGAUCUGAAGGAAUACCAGUGGCGAAGGCGACUUCCUGGCCAAAAACUGACGCUGAGGUGCGAAAGCGUGGGUAGCAAACGGGAUUAGAAACCCCAGUAGUCC
Molecule: ribosomal RNA, 274 nt
Filed under: uncultured bacterium
Lineage: Bacteria
Description: partial 16S ribosomal RNA
Rfam family: Bacterial small subunit ribosomal RNA
Source: RNAcentral